GGAUCUGUAGCUCAGCUGGUUUAGAGCGCACGCCUGAUAAGCGUGAGGUCGAUGGUUCGAGUCCAUUCAGAUCCA
This 75-nucleotide transfer RNA is filed under the name Ligilactobacillus aviarius. Its description in RNAcentral is "tRNA-Ile". It matches the Rfam family "tRNA". Rfam says of the family: Transfer RNA (tRNA) molecules are approximately 80 nucleotides in length. Their secondary structure includes four short double-helical elements and three loops (D, anti-codon, and T loops). RNAcentral also lists the same sequence under 1 other name. The record is from RNAcentral. Lineage: Bacteria; Bacillati; Bacillota; Bacilli; Lactobacillales; Lactobacillaceae.